UGCAAGUCGAGCGGUAGCGGGGAAUAGCUUGCUCUUUUGGCGGCGAGCGGCGGACGGGUGAGUAAUGUCUGGGAAACUGCCUGAUGGAGGGGGAUAACUACUGGAAACGGUAGCUAAUACCGCAUAACGUCGCAAGACCAAAGAGGGGGACCUUCGGGCCUCUUGCCAUCAUAUGUGCCCAGAUGGGAUUAUCUAGUAGGUGGGGUAACGGCUCACCUAGGCGACGAUCCCUAUCUGGUCUGAGAGGAUGACCACCCACACUGGAACUGACACACGGUCCACACUCCUACGGGAGGCAGCAGUGGGGAAUAUUGCACAAUGGGCGCAAGCCUGAUGCACCCAUGCCGCGUGUAUGAAGAAGGCCUUCGGGUUGUAAAGUACUUUCAGCGGGGAGGAAGGUGAUGAGGUUAAUAACCUUAGCAAUUGACGUUACCCGCAAAAGAAGCACCGGCUAACUCCGUGCCAGCAGCCGCGGUAAUACGGAGGGUGCAAGCGUUAAUCGGAAUUACUGGGCGUAAAGCGCACGCAGGCGGUCUGUCAAGUCGGAUGUGAAAUCCCCGGGCUCAACCUGGGAACUGCAUUCGAAACUGGCAGGCUAGAGUCUUGUAGAGGGGGGUAGAAUUCCA
RNAcentral lists this ribosomal RNA (626 nucleotides) under Enterobacter sp. Its description in RNAcentral is "bacterial SSU rRNA". It matches the Rfam family "Bacterial small subunit ribosomal RNA", at positions 56 to 671 of the family's 1533-position model. The record is from RNAcentral. Lineage: Bacteria; Pseudomonadati; Pseudomonadota; Gammaproteobacteria; Enterobacterales; Enterobacteriaceae.